Molecule: ribosomal RNA, 31 nt
Filed under: Laccaria sp. J50
Lineage: Eukaryota; Fungi; Basidiomycota; Agaricomycetes; Agaricales; Hydnangiaceae
Description: partial 18S ribosomal RNA
Source: RNAcentral
CCGUAGGUGAACCUGCGGAAGGAUCAUUAUU